GAUACAGAGAGAGAUACAGAGAGAGAUACAGAGAGAGAUACAGAGAGAUACAGAGAGAGAGGAAGGGGUAGAUACAGAGAGAUACAGAGAGAGAGGAAGGGGGUAGAUACAGAGAGAUACAGAGAGAUACAGAGAGAGAUACAAAGAGAUACAGAGAGAGAGGAAGGGGUAGAUACAGAGAGAUACAGAGAGAGAGGAAGGGAGAGAUACAGAGAGAUACAGAGAGAGAGGAAGGGGUAGAUACAGAGAGAUACAGAGAGAGAGGAAGGGAGAUACAGAGAGAGAGGAAGGGGUAGAUACAGAGAGAUACAGAGAGAGAGGAAGGGGG
Molecule: long non-coding RNA, 328 nt
Organism: Oncorhynchus tshawytscha (Chinook salmon)
Lineage: Eukaryota; Metazoa; Chordata; Actinopteri; Salmoniformes; Salmonidae
Source: Ensembl